GGGGAUAUAGCUCAGUGGUAGUGCGCUUGCCUAGCAUAUGCAAAAUCCUGAGUUCGAUCCCCAGUACCACCA
This 72-nucleotide transfer RNA is filed under the name Ictidomys tridecemlineatus (thirteen-lined ground squirrel). Its description in RNAcentral is "Spermophilus tridecemlineatus (thirteen-lined ground squirrel) tRNA". It matches the Rfam family "tRNA". From Rfam's summary of the family: Transfer RNA (tRNA) molecules are approximately 80 nucleotides in length. Lineage: Eukaryota; Metazoa; Chordata; Mammalia; Rodentia; Sciuridae. The record is from Rfam by way of RNAcentral.